AGAGUUUGAUCCUGGCUCAGGACGAACGCUGGCGGCGUGCUUAACACAUGCAAGUCGAACGAGGUGCUUGCACCUAGUGGCGAACGGGUGAGUAACACGUGAGCAACCUGCCCUUGGCUCUGGGAUAGCCUCCGGAAACGGGGAUUAAUACCGGACAUGACUCCUCACUGCAUGGUGGGGGGUGGAAAGUUUUUCGGCCAGGGAGGGGCUCGCGGCCUAUCAGCUUGUUGGAGGGGUAACGGCCCACCAAGGCGACGACGGGUAGCCGGCCUGAGAGGGCGACCGGCCACACUGGGACUGAGACACGGCCCAGACUCCUACGGGAGGCAGCAGUGGGGAAUAUUGCACAAUGGGGGAAACCCUGAUGCAGCGACGCCGCGUGCGGGAUGAAGGCCUUCGGGUUGUAAACCGCUUUCAGCAGGGGCGAAUUUAAGACGGUACCUGCAGAAGAAGCGCCGGCUAACUACGUGCCAGCAGCCGCGGUAAU
Molecule: ribosomal RNA, 487 nt
Filed under: uncultured soil bacterium
Lineage: Bacteria
Description: bacterial SSU rRNA
Rfam family: Bacterial small subunit ribosomal RNA
Source: RNAcentral